AGAGAGACAGAUAGAGAAACAGAUAGAGAGAAAGAGAAAGAAAUAAAAGUUUAUGCAAGUCUAUCCUAGAACUUGAAUUUAGGAUUUCUACAUGUAUGGCAGACCACUUAUCACUAAGCUAUAGGAUUA
Bufo bufo (common toad) is the source of this 129-nucleotide long non-coding RNA. RefSeq lists it as uncharacterized. The transcript is spliced from 3 exons. Lineage: Eukaryota; Metazoa; Chordata; Amphibia; Anura; Bufonidae. The record is from RefSeq and is a predicted model, not a curated record.